Molecule: transfer RNA, 73 nt
Filed under: Cordylochernes scorpioides
Lineage: Eukaryota; Metazoa; Arthropoda; Arachnida; Pseudoscorpiones; Chernetidae
Description: tRNA-Ile
Rfam family: tRNA
About the family: Transfer RNA (tRNA) molecules are approximately 80 nucleotides in length. Their secondary structure includes four short double-helical elements and three loops (D, anti-codon, and T loops). Further hydrogen bonds mediate the characteristic L-shaped molecular structure. tRNAs have two regions of fundamental functional importance: the anti-codon, which is responsible for specific mRNA codon recognition, and the 3' end, to which the tRNAs corresponding amino acid is attached (by aminoacyl-tRNA synthetases). tRNAs cope with the degeneracy of the genetic code in two manners: having more than one tRNA (with a specific anti-codon) for a particular amino acid; and 'wobble' base-pairing, i.e. permitting non-standard base-pairing at the 3rd anti-codon position.
Source: RNAcentral
UCCAGGGUAGCCUAGUAGACAUGGCAUCUGCCAGAUAAGCGGAACAUUUUGUGUUCGAUUCCCAUCCCUGGAC